UACACACGGAUAACAUACCGAAAGGUAUGCUAAUACGGGAUAAUAUAUUUGAGAGGCAUCUCUUAAAUAUCAAAGGUGAGCCAGUACAGGAUGGACCCGCGUCUGAUUAGCUAGUUGGUAAGGUAACGGCUUACCAAGGCGACGAUCAGUAGCCGACCUGAGAGGGUGAUCGGCCACAUUGGAACUGAGACACGGUCCAAACUCCUACGGGAGGCAGCAGUGGGGAAUAUUGCACAAUGGGCGAAAGCCUGAUGCAGCAACGCCGCGUGAGUGAUGAAGGCCUUCGGGUCGUAAAACUCUGUCCUCAAGGAAGAUAAUGACGGUACUUGAGGAGGAAGCCCCGGCUAACUACGUGCCAGCAGCCGCGGUAAUACGUAGGGGGCUAGCGUUAUCCGGAUUUACUGGGCGUAAAGGGUGCGUAGGCGGUCUUUCAAGUCAGGAGUGAAAGGCUACGGCUCAACCGUAGUGAGCUCUUGAAACUGGGAGACUUGAGUGCAGGAGAGGAGAGUGGAAUUCCUAGUGUAGCGGUGAAAUGCGUAGAUAUUAGGAGGAACACCAGUUGCGAAGGCGGCUCUCUGGACUGUAACUGACGCUGAGGCACGAAAGCGUGGGGAGCAAACAGGAUUAGAUACCCUGGUAGUCCACGCUGUAAACGAUGAAUACUAGGUGUCGGGGGUUACCCCCUUCGGUGCCGCAGC
This 698-nucleotide ribosomal RNA is filed under the name uncultured bacterium. RNAcentral's name for it is "bacterial SSU rRNA". It matches the Rfam family "Bacterial small subunit ribosomal RNA", at positions 134 to 852 of the family's 1533-position model. The record is from RNAcentral.